This is a long non-coding RNA of Bicyclus anynana (squinting bush brown), 1736 nucleotides long. RefSeq lists it as uncharacterized. The record is from RefSeq and is a predicted model, not a curated record. Lineage: Eukaryota; Metazoa; Arthropoda; Insecta; Lepidoptera; Nymphalidae. The transcript is spliced from 3 exons.
AUCAUUUAUUUUGUUACAAAUUUAAAAUUUCGUCUAAUGUGGUAGAUCUUCUUUCUACUAAGAUUAAAAGUGUACGAGUAUCAACGCUUACGGCUUAACAUGGAAAUUAAAAUAUUGCUAAAUAUCGUUUAUUUUCAGGGCGAUUUCUGAAGGACAAUAUCAAAAGUAUACACCCUAACACUUACGUAUACAUAGCAGAGUGGAGAAGGCAACGAGAUUUUGACCAAUUUACGGCGUGCCAAGUGGAAAGAUAAGCUAAUACGGCUUACUGAGGGGACUGUAUCGGAAAACUAAUUCUGCAUAAAUACACGUACAAAAUGCAUUAACACAUGUCCCUGUGAUACCUGUUAUUUGUUUAAAAUUUAGCGGACUCAGGAGUGAUUACAAAAAUAUGAAAACUAAUGUCGAACAAAAGGUUUGAUUCACAACAUUUGUCAGGACAACUUAUCUAACAAAUCAAAGUGUAACCAAAAUAAGACCCUAGAAUGGCAGAUAAUGACCUUGAGUGAAGUCACGCACUUGUGGACGUUGUGUGUAAGGUUAAAGGCGCCUUUGACUGUUAACGAACACUCCCCUUUUCCACUCAAGUCACUCUCCCCGCCUAUCCCAAGUAACCCAUAAAGAAUUACACAACAAGAGAUGUGGACGGCUCGAACGCCACGAGCACACUGAAGCCGUCCGUACCGCAAGUCGAUGCAACGUGGCGAUAACAAUUAUGUAGAUGAAAUUGUUUUUAAUUUAAUUUCAUAUAUUUAUAUAUCUAAUAUACCUAACAUUUUUUUAUAAUUAAAAACACCGUAACUAUAGUACACUUGCUCUCAGUUCAUUUUGUUUGAACACACAUAUUUUGAUGAAAGCUUGUUAGCGUGAUUUUCCAUGUGACAUCUUAAGAUAUGCGGGGAAGACAUGCGUAACGUUACUAUUGAAAUGAAAGCCUUUCAUAUGAAAAACAAUGACUAUAUUUUUAAAGAUUUUUCUCUGCGAAACGUAAAGAAAAGUAUUUUACUUUUAUUUUAAGGAAAAAAUAUUGUUUAAGUCUGAUUUAUGUGCUACUAUUACCGUAAACAUUACGCCUACGCUUCUGGCUACUGACGUUUAAAAUUUAUAUUAGCACUACGUAGUAGUAAAAAGCUGUAACCCAUGGUAAGCUGGUUCAGACAAUGAGGUCCAGGGUUCGAUUGCCGGAUCAGGCCAAUAAAAAAAAAAACUCGUAAUUGGGAUUGUUCUUACAAGAAGAAUCUUAAUAGCAGCCUGGAGUUGGGAAGUUGGUGGUGUGGACUCCCCGUGCCUCUACUCCUGCGCCUGAUCUUUCAUCAAACUUGAAGAGUAAGGGAAAAGAGAAUACACCUGUGCUUGCUCACACACUAUAUUUCAUGCUUACAUGGUUAAUCUUACCAUGAGACUGGCGAAAAAGAAAAAACAAUUCCGUUGGGAGCGUAUUAUUGUAAUUGAGAAUUUAUUGUAAGAAUCCCAACCUAUUUACCUCCAGCCCAGGGCCUCUUGAACUGACACCAAAUAUGCCGACCUUUGGACCUUUUAAAAGCCUCAAUAGCUCAAUGGUAAGAGCGGUCGGAUUCAUCACCGCGGGUUCAAUCCCUCCCCGUUGGUCUGUUGUCGUUCCCACUCCUAGCACAGACUUGGUCAUAUUUAGAAAGACAUGGCAAAUAUUCUUAAAAAAUAUAAUGCAGCCAGUAUAAGUCAUAAAAAGAAGAACUUAAUGUAACCUCAUGUAUUUA